AGAGCGAACGCUGGCGGCAGGCUUAACACAUGCAAGUCGAACGGAUCCUUCGGGAUUAGUGGCGGACGGGUGAGUAACACGUGGGAACGUGCCUUUAGGUUCGGAACAACACAGGGAAACUUGUGCUAAUACCGGAUGUGCCCUUCGGGGGAAAGAUUUAUCGCCUUUAGAGCGGCCCGCGUCUGAUUAGCUUGUUGGUGAGGUAAAGGCUCACCAAGGCUACGAUCAGUAGCUGGUCUGAGAGGAUGGCCAGCCACAUUGGGGCUGAGACACGGCCCAAACUCCUACGGGAGGCAGCAGUGGGGAAUCUUGCGCAAUGGGGGAAACCCUGACGCAGCCAUGCCGCGUGGAUGAUGAAGGUCUUAGGAUUGUAAAAUCCUUUCAGCGGGGACGAUAAUGACGGUACCCGCAGAAGAAGCCCCGGCUAACUUCGCGCCAGCAGCCGC
Molecule: ribosomal RNA, 446 nt
Filed under: uncultured bacterium
Lineage: Bacteria
Description: SSU rRNA
Rfam family: Bacterial small subunit ribosomal RNA
Source: RNAcentral